RNAcentral lists this ribosomal RNA (253 nucleotides) under uncultured bacterium. RNAcentral's name for it is "partial 16S ribosomal RNA". It matches the Rfam family "Bacterial small subunit ribosomal RNA", at positions 524 to 776 of the family's 1533-position model. The record is from RNAcentral.
UACAGAGGUCCCGAGCGUUGUUCGGAUUCACUGGGCGUAAAGGGUGCGCAGGUGGCUUGGCAAGUUUGAUGUGAAAGCUCAGGGCUUAACCCUGAAAUGGCAUUGAAUACUGUUGAGCUGGAGGUUUGGAGGGGGGACUGGAAUUCUUGGUGUAGCAGUGAAAUGCGUAGAUAUCAAGAGGAACACCAGUGGCGAAGGCGAGUCCCUGGACAACACCUGACACUGAGGCACGAAAGCUAGGGGAACAAACAGG